RNAcentral lists this ribosomal RNA (482 nucleotides) under uncultured bacterium. RNAcentral describes it as "partial 16S ribosomal RNA". It matches the Rfam family "Bacterial small subunit ribosomal RNA", at positions 30 to 507 of the family's 1533-position model. The record is from RNAcentral.
AUUGAACGCUGGCGGCAUGCCUUACACAUGCAAGUCGAACGGUAACAGGUCUUCGGAUGCUGACGAGUGGCGAACGGGUGAGUAAUACAUCGGAACGUGCCCAGACGUGGGGGAUAACGAGGCGAAAGCUUUGCUAAUACCUUAUACGAUCUAAGGAUGAAAGCAGGGGACCGCAAGGCCUUGCGCGUGUGGUGCGGCCGAUGGCAGAUUAGGUAGUUGGUGGGUUAAAAGCUUACCAAGCCGACGAUCUGUAGCUGGUCUGAGAGGACGACCAGCCACACUGGGACUGAGACACGGCCCAGACUCCUACGGGAGGCAGCAGUGGGGAAUUUUGGACAAUGGGCGAAAGCCUGAUCCAGCAAUGCCGCGUGAAGGAUGAAGGCCUUCGGGUUGUAAACUGCUUUUGUACGGAACGAAAAGGCUCUGGCUAAUACCUGGGGAACAUGACGGUACCGUAAGAAUAAGCACCGGCUAACUACGUG